ACAUGGGGCUUGUUGCUUCUCUGGGUAAAUGCUUUAUCUGUGAAUUUUCAGACAAAAUGGGCAACUGGCAAUGCUCAUAACAUAUUCCAAUUUUUAUUGGAAUUUUCCAUGGAAUGUUAUUAUUACAUUAAAGCUAUGUAAGGUGAAGCUUUGAUAAUUUUUUACUUUUAAAAUUAUGAUAAAUUCUAAUCUAAUAUUAAAAAAAAUUUUUGUACUCCACAUGAAAAAUGCUAAAUUAUAGUGCAGGCAUUUAGGAAAGUAUUGAGGGAUUGAAUUCCUUAAGAAUUUCUUUUCUAGUUCUGAGUCAUAAAUACUCAAUUGACUUAAAUUUCUAAAAUUGUAAACUGAGUCUUUUUAUUGUAAAUCUACCAUAGUAAAGCCUUUGGAAUUUUUUUUCUGCUUUUUCCUUGUUACAACUCAUUUAAAAACCGAAUUAGUUUUCUUAGGUGACAUAAACCUGUCUCUUGAGAAAUAAAUAAAACACUCUUGUGUUUCCAGUGGCUGUAGGACCUGAAAUGUGUUUCCUAGAGACGGAAACAUUCUGUUGAAGUUAACUUUUCUUUGUCACAAUUUUGGAUAAUAAACAUCUAAAAGUAUUAAUGUUUAAAGACUUAUAUUCUCUACUGGGGCCCUUAAAAUUUAGAUGGAAGAAAUCCAACCAGAAUAUUUAUAUUAGAGUAUAAUCUCAUCUGGUAGGAUGAACUAGCUGACCAUGGAUACGUUUUUGUGAUUUUUUUCCCCCCAAGUUGUCUUUUCUAACUUUAAAUGUGUUCUGAGAUAUGCGAACAUUAAUUGUAAUGUCAACUAUUAUACAACUGUCUUUGCAACUUUAUCUGAACUUUGAGAAUUUCCUCAAUCAUCUAAAUGCCCUAGAGAUUUUGGUUCUCUCUGUUCACAACCAGUUGUAUAACAAAUGCUCAAUAGUGUUUUCCUCCCUGUGUGUGAAGUAAUGAAUCAUUGGUUAUGUGACUUGUUAUGUAUUCUAUUAAACACUAAAGAAUAAAACAUUCACUCCUUUGAUUAUUCCUCUUAGC
Molecule: long non-coding RNA, 1034 nt
Filed under: Sus scrofa (pig)
Lineage: Eukaryota; Metazoa; Chordata; Mammalia; Artiodactyla; Suidae
Description: lncRNA (ENSSSCG00070022338.1)
Source: RNAcentral